AGAUUGAACGCUGGCGGCAUGCCUUACACAUGCAAGUCGAACGGCAGCACGGGAGCAAUCCUGGUGGCGAGUGGCGAACGGGUGAGUAAUACAUCGGAACGUGCCCAAUCGUGGGGGAUAACGCAGCGAAAGCUGUGCUAAUACCGCAUAAGAUCUACGGAUGAAAGCAGGGGAUCGCAAGACCUUGCGCGAAUGGAGCGGCCGAUGGCAGAUUAGGUAGUUGGUGAGGUAAAGGCUCACCAAGCCUUCGAUCUGUAGCUGGUCUGAGAGGCGACCAGCCACACUGGGACUGAGACACCGGCCAGACCUCCGUAGGGACGCAGCGUAGGUGGGGAAUUUUGGACAAGUGGGCGAAGCCUGAUCC
RNAcentral lists this ribosomal RNA (364 nucleotides) under uncultured soil bacterium. RNAcentral's name for it is "bacterial SSU rRNA". It matches the Rfam family "Bacterial small subunit ribosomal RNA", at positions 26 to 389 of the family's 1533-position model. The record is from RNAcentral.